UGUUAUAAUAAAAUAUAAUUAGAUACUUCUUACCCAUGAAUUCCCAUGGGAUGGGGAUGAUGAACAUAUCUGAUUUUAGUAUCAUG
Molecule: small nucleolar RNA, 86 nt
Organism: Rhea pennata
Lineage: Eukaryota; Metazoa; Chordata; Aves; Rheiformes; Rheidae
Product: small nucleolar RNA SNORD86
Exons: 1
Source: RefSeq, a predicted model, not a curated record